CACUCCUACGGGAGGCAGCAGUGGGGAAUAUUGGACAAUGGGCGCAAGCCUGAUCCAGCCAUGCCGCGUGAGUGAUGAAGGCCCUAGGGUUGUAAAGCUCUUUCACCGGUGAAGAUAAUGACGGUAACCGGAGAAGAAGCCCCGGCUAACUUCGUGCCAGCAGCCGCGGUAAUACGAAGGGGGCUAGCGUUGUUCGGAUUUACUGGGCGUAAAGCGCACGUAGGCGGACUAUUAAGUCAGGGGUGAAAUCCCGGGGCUCAACCCCGGAACUGCCUUUGAUACUGGUAGUCUUGAGUUCGAGAGAGGUGAGUGGAAUUCCGAGUGUAGAGGUGAAAUUCGUAGAUAUUCGGAGGAACACCAGUGGCGAAGGCGGCUCACUGGCUCGAUACUGACGCUGAGGUGCGAAAGCGUGGGGAGCAAACAGGAUUAGAUACCCGGGUAGUCCCAUGAU
Molecule: ribosomal RNA, 451 nt
Filed under: uncultured organism
Description: partial 16S ribosomal RNA
Rfam family: Bacterial small subunit ribosomal RNA
Source: RNAcentral